This is a long non-coding RNA of Ornithodoros turicata, 4516 nucleotides long. RefSeq lists it as uncharacterized. The record is from RefSeq and is a predicted model, not a curated record. The transcript is spliced from 3 exons. Lineage: Eukaryota; Metazoa; Arthropoda; Arachnida; Ixodida; Argasidae.
UUUGACCCUGGGAGCGAGGCUAUGUGCCGAUUGCGUUGGCAUAUAGUGAAUCACUGGCUAUUCUGUCCCCGUGCCGUUUGAGAAGCAUCGCUUGUUGAUGAAGUCAAGUGAGCCCAGUUUUAAUAUUAAACAGGGUCCUCUUUGCUGCCCAUGGGCAGUCAUUAUCUCCGUGCAGCCCACCUUUACAAUUGCCCAGUGCUGGGUGCUUCUUCGACUCUGCCAGCUCCUAACAGUUUUCUGUUCAACCAGAUGACCCUGUACCGUCGAGAAGCCCAUCUUCAUCCCAUCCGAGCAUCUGUGACGGCUCUCGAUGGCAUCUUUGCACGCAUCCCAGAGCACUCACUUGCUGAGCUUGUGGCGUCCAUAACAACUUGCUUUGCUGCCAUAUUCUUGCCAGUAGUUUUCGAAAAAGGACAGUGGACAGUGGUGGAAAAAAUCGCCUGUCUCUGCUUUUUGCAGGUGUUUCAAAAUUGCUGCUCUCAUAUAUGGUGCGCACAUAGGAUAGUGCUUGGUGUAUUCUACCUUGCUCGACAAAGUAAUGGAUAAUAUGGCUAAUUUUGACACAGUUUGACAAACAAUCCACUGCACACACUGUCAUUCUCCUGGAAUUCCUGGAGAUUCACCAUGACUUUGGGGACCACCAUGCUAUCUACCCUGAUGGGACCAAAGGAAGCAAUGGCGUGGCGGCUGUUGCCCUUGAAGGCGAUUCUAUUAUAAUGGCACACUUGAACACGAAUGCCACAGUUUUCACCACAGAGCUUUACGCGAUUCUCCUGGCUCUGCAACACAUUCAACAAAAUGACCUUCAAAACUCCGUUAUUUACUCUGAUUCGCUAAGCUCUGUGCGUGUGCUGCUUUCAUGCUCUGACACCAAGAAUCACCUCGUCAAGCAAGGACGGGCGCUUGCGACUCAACUUUGUUCCCGAGGCUUUUCAAUCUGUCUCUGCUGAGUCCCCAACCACACUGGGAUCCCAGGGAAUGAACAAGCCGACCGUAAGGCUCGGCGAGCGUUGGCACAAGAGGAGUCGCCUCUAGGACUACCCUACCAAGACAUCCUGCCAGUGUUAAAGUUCAGCAUUGCUCCGCUUUUAGCCUUUAUCACCCAGUUCCUCAUGUAAAUCUCUCAUCCUGGAUCAUCUCAUCGCUCAUACUUGUAGAUAGCUUUUAACUGCCACACGCACUUGUUAUCGUCAUCCUCCUUUCUCUCUUAUCCUGGACCAUCUCAUCGCUCAUAACUGUAGAUAGCUUUUAAUAACUACACUCACUUGUUAUCGUCCUCUCUCUCUCUCCCAUCAUCAUCCCCCACACACUCCCCAUAGUUCUGGCACUCUUUGGCCUUUGCCGCCUUUGUACCAUUACACACAUAACCUCUCUCUCAAAUUUUUUGUGCCCACAUGAUUUGUUAUAAUCACCUAUGCAUUAUCUUGAAUCCCACGAGUUCUCGUUCACGGAGAACAGUUGAAUGGAUUGUGGAUGAUCGCAUUAAGACAUCCCUUGCUGCUGUGCGCCAUGCACUUAACACCAUGUUCAUCGUUCUUCAGUGACUCCAGCUUAGUCAUCUGUUUGCCAUCUGUGUUAAACAGUCCCGGCCAAGGUAGUGUCUCCGAGGUCUAUCACAUAUCCACCUUUUCAUUUCAAGUACAUGUUGCUGGGUGAGUGUCCUACAAGCUGAGAAGUGUUCUACGUCAGCACUCCAAAACACCACAGCUGCUCAUGUCGUGCUGGAGGUUAACGAACCAUUUUGAGUUUCAUACCGAGGCUAACGUGCCAUUUUCUGUUUCUUCUGUAUUUCACACAGAGAAAAACGAUCACCGUGGUCCUUCACAUUCUUUCUGGAUUCUUUGAGUGGGUCGAAGCACAUUAUUUCUUACUUCUUUAGAUCUACAGCAAUGACGGUCCAGCGUCUUGUUAUGGGAGCUAACUGCAUUCUUUCCACCUCUGGCUCUCUAUUCUCUAUAUUGCCUUUCCAUGGCUGUCUGUCCUCAGUUUCUACACCAAGGAUGUUGCCAUAUUCAGCAUCUGUACUACCGCAUGGCGUGUGCUUGGCUCUUCAUCAGUUAGAUCUUCUGUUAUAUCUAUUAGAUCUAUCUUCGUCACAUCACCUCUCGUCAUCUCUCUGCCUCCAUCACUAUAGCAUACAUCGGAAUUGCCCUUCUGAACGGCGAAAGGAUCACACAAGCUGGCUUUUAGCGACACUUGUGUCACUGCUGUCCGAACUGGGGACUACUACCUCACUAUGAUUAGGCUCAAAUUUUUCUUUAUUUUUUUUUUCUGGGGGAGGGGGGGGAGUACUGUACUCGGCUCAUUUCGUCAUCACUUGUGCAGUGUUCUAUUAUGCCAUUAGUGAUGUAUUGACGUUCUGGACUUCCAGAAUGUUCCCUGAUCUUUACUGUGUUGUAUUGUGCUAUUGUAGUAUUUCUGGAACACUGCACAGCAGGAUUGCCAUAUUUCAUUUGUUGUCUAUCAGCGUCAUCCACACCUGUGUCAGUGGUUACAUGGAAGCAGGGAUGGCGAGAUAGGAGAGUCAUCUUUGAAGGAAGGGAGCCCGCAUCCUGGGCCUCUUCAGGGGCCCAUGGUACCCAGGGCCCAACUCUUGCUACGCCCAACCAUGUGCACCCAGCGCACGGACUUCCGUGUGCAAGUGAUGCUGCAUGUGAUUAAUGUGCAGUUACUUUCAAGGAAGAGUUCAACAAGAAAGUUUUUUUCAAGCCUGCUUCAGAAAAUACUUCGUGUUUCAUUCUGCUCCUGUAGUCUGGCAACAUCAGUGUCGCCAGAUAUGCAACAAUUCACUCAGCACUGGAGUCUUGUGUCACGUUUUAACACGGUUACAUAUUUUCCUCAUACGCAAUCACAGUGGUACUGCAUGCAGGUAUCACUUCGCAUCUGCUUGCUGUGACCUUCUCUGUUCUCACAGCCGAAGCACUCUUUAUCUGCGUUUCUCUUCAGCGUUUCUGCUUCACUCUUCAGCUGCGUUUCAAGCACCCACUGACAAUGCUCUCAAAGAUGUGGUGACACAUUUUUCUUAUGUCACAUGCACCUUGUCUUUGUCCUUACUAGCCUGAAGCCACCUGCUAGUGCAAACCAGCACACAAUGAUUCCACCACUCUCUUCUUCGCUAUUCAACCACUGUUGCACUAUUUGAGGACUCCACUGACCUCCCAGGGAGAGGUGCUUGAGAAAAUCAGUUAAGAGAUCGUAAAGCAGGACUGAGUCCGUGUCACUGAGGGCAACAAACAUUGCCCGUUGCUUGUCUCGUUUGUAAUAUGGGAUGAAAAGCGUGUUCCUGUCGUCCACGGACUUGGUGACGAGCAGUUCUUCUGCGAGUAAAUGUGCCACAUUAUCACCUCUGAACAGAGGCAUCAAGUAGGUGUAAGUACUUGCAACCUUGUCAAACCUUACGCUGAGCUACAUGAAAAAUGCCUCAGUUAUUGUGUCGAAGAGGUGGCCCUUCUGAAAUAACUGGUCAGACGCACAUAGCUCGGCUUCUUUAGACCUGUCGAUUGUAGUGUCGAGGGACCUGAGAUCAACGAGCCUUAUAAAUAUGUUUGAGGGCUUUCCAAAUGCAAGUACAACAUCACUACCUCCCCUUGCAUAUGUAAGGCAGAUAGGUAAGGGAAGGGCAGGCUCGCAGCUUUCGGGCAUCGCCACCCUGGAUUUCCUGUUUCUCUGAUUGUCAGGCAUCCCCAUUGCUAGCGUGUGGGUGGGGACGGAUGUUUUGUCUCUUCUGUCAGGAAGUGAACCUCUUUUUCGCUUGACGAGGGCAUGCCAAUUUCCAUUGCUUUUUGCAGUUCUUUUUGCUCUUCCAUUGCUUGAUCUAUGCUGUGCUUUCCUCUUCCUUUGCUUUGAUGGGCUUUUCUGUAACUGAAUUGCUUUUCCAUUUCUUUUUUUGCAGCACGGAGCAAGCGGCACUUCAUUUCGGGUACACCUUGUGGGGUGCCCUCCGUUAUCAGAAUCUGACACACUGCUAGUAGUGUAUCUAUGGCCAAGGCAAUAUUGUGCCCUAAUGUCUCAGGUACAACUUCGAUGUCCAGGUAGCACACUAGUUUCUUGAGUUUGUCCAUUGAUGAAGUCAUUUUUCCUGAAGCAUUCACAGAGCGGAAUAGCUUCCCAUUCAGUUGCCGAACCUCAACUGUCCCCUCUAUUUUUCACAAUUUCAUAUGAGUUGUCGCUAUUUCCUUUUUCUGCAUAAUCACCUAGGCCACUUAGUCCACAAGCUCUGUCUUUACGUUUGUCUGUACUCCCACUCAGCUUUUUUGUACUUUAUCUCCCUGCAGAUGGCUUGCUCCUGCCAUAUGUAACUUGUUCCAAGGGGAUUUUUGAAAUCAAUAAACUGAAUUGAAUUUAAUUUUGUGCAACUUAGACUGGACAUUUUCACAAAUGACAUUGUUUACGUCUGGUGCUGCUGGGUUCCACAUAUCUGGACCCCCAUUGUGCGAACAUUUCAACUUGACAUGGUAAGUGCCGAAUGAAGGAGCUUGCCGAAAGAAGACAGUGUACCCUCACAAUAUUUCUUCCU